RNAcentral lists this transfer RNA (75 nucleotides) under Anaerolineaceae bacterium. RNAcentral describes it as "tRNA-Pro". It matches the Rfam family "tRNA". From Rfam's summary of the family: Transfer RNA (tRNA) molecules are approximately 80 nucleotides in length. The record is from RNAcentral. Lineage: Bacteria; Bacillati; Chloroflexota; Anaerolineae; Anaerolineales; Anaerolineaceae. RNAcentral also lists the same sequence under 1 other name.
CGGGGCGUGGCUCAGCCCGGAGAGAGCGCUCGGUUCGGGACCGAGAGGUCGGCAGUUCAAAUCUGCUCGCCCCGA